GACGAACGCUGGCGGCGUGCUUAACACAUGCAAGUCGAGCGGAAAGGCCCUUCGGGGUACUCGAGCGGCGAACGGGUGAGUAACACGUGAGUAACCUGCCCCAGACUUUGGGAUAACCCUCGGAAACGGGGGCUAAUACCGGAUACGACACAGCUACGCAUGGGGUCUGUGUGGAAAGUUUUUCGGUUUGGGAUGGGCUCGCGGCCUAUCAGCUUGUUGGUGGGGUGAUGGCCUACCAAGGCGACGACGGGUAGCCGGCCUGAGAGGGCGACCGGCCACACUGGGACUGAGACACGGCCCAGACUCCUACGGGAGGCAGCAGUGGGGAAUAUUGCACAAUGGGCGGAAGCCUGAUGCAGCGACGCCGCGUGAGGGAUGACGGCCUUCGGGUUGUAAACCUCUUUCAGCAGGGACGAAGCGUAAGUGACGGUACCUGCAGAAGAAGCGCCGGCCAACUACGUG
This 462-nucleotide ribosomal RNA is filed under the name uncultured bacterium. RNAcentral's name for it is "partial 16S ribosomal RNA". It matches the Rfam family "Bacterial small subunit ribosomal RNA", at positions 28 to 507 of the family's 1533-position model. The record is from RNAcentral.